CUGCUUUGCAGCGAUGGAGCUGCGAUUCCUCCUCCGUCGAGCGGCCAUCUCUCGACGUCCAACCGGGGACCAGAGCUUCACAUCGUCGUCCCCAACCUCACUAUGUUCUUCGUGUUCCAAGAGGAGCUCCGGCGAGAGAGAAAAGGAGGAGAGAAGACGACUGCAUCUCCGAUCGGGUUUCCUAUACCGGUCACGACGGCAAGCGUGACUGGUAUGGAAAGCUCUGUCUCAUCGUCCCCAACAUGACUGUGCUGUUAGAUUUCCAAGACAAGCUCGGAGAAGGGAGAAUCGAGCAGAAGAAGGAUUUCUGGGUUCGCCGGCGAUCUUCAAAUUCCGGCCACGGCGGUGAGCAUGAGCGGUGCUGGUAGCUUUGCCUUAACUCCCUGAACAUCGUUGUGCUAUUGGUUUUUGAAGAGAAGCCUUGAGGAGGGAGAAUCGAACCUCAGAAGUUUUUUGGGUUUUCCAGCCGUGUUCUUCAUUUUCCGGCGAGCUUCAAGUAUCAAUUCAGGUAUCAAAGUUGGUCCAUUUGUCGAGCUCUACCUGUUUAUAUGCUUGAAUUCGAGUUUGAUUAAGUUUUGGAGAAGUUGGUGUUUGGGCAAACGUCGGCCGCCGUGAGUACUGCUGUGUACGGCGGUGGCAGGUGGUGGUUCUUGUAGUUUGUGGUUUUUCAUAGUAUACAGAUUGUGGAGGGAUGCUUCGAUAUGUAUUUGAAUGGCAGGAGAUUGAAAAUUGGAUGAAGUGGGUUUUGGGGCAGUGUUGUUCUGUGGCGGAAAUGAUGGUUGAUAGUUCUGGGUUUUGGUUUAUGUUUUGGAUGAAAUUGCAGGACAUGAUGUUGGUGUUGUAUAUGCUUGAAGUCCAGAAAUGGAAGAGUUGGGAAGUAGACGAUUGAGGUCGAAUUGUGUUGUUGGAAUGAAGAACAGUAGUGUUCUUCUAUUCAUUGAAGUGCUUGAAUUUAAGAGUUUGAAAGUUGAUAUCGGCAGAAUAGAACAUGGGUGUCCAGAGUAGAUUUGGAGUCAAGUUGGUACUUGGAGCGCAAUUUGGAUAUGACGACGGCAUUGAGCGUAAAGGCGAAUAAGAAUGUGGAAAUAAAUUGAAAUGAGUACAUUUGAUUCGAAAAUCAUUGGAAAAGAAAAAGAAUUCGGUACAAGGAUCGAAUGCGAGUAGCUAGAUUGCAAAAGCAGAAGGAUAAGGAUAUCAUAAUGCGUGUUGCAGAGUUACUAAUUUUAGCUAGUGUCAAAAAUAGCGCUUGGAUUCCAGGUUUGUACGAAGACACGUGUUUCUAGAAGACUAGCGGACGUGUACAAGAAUAGAAAAGAGUUACAGA
RNA transcript from Fragaria vesca subsp. vesca, 1324 nucleotides. RefSeq lists it as uncharacterized. The record is from RefSeq and is a predicted model, not a curated record. Lineage: Eukaryota; Viridiplantae; Streptophyta; Magnoliopsida; Rosales; Rosaceae. The transcript is spliced from 2 exons.